GUGCUCGCUUCGGCAGCACAUAUACUAAAAUUGGAACGAUACAGAGAAGAUUAGCAUAGCCCCUGCGCAAGGAUGACAUGCAAAUUUUAUCAGACCUUCAAAGAAAACUU
Apodemus sylvaticus (European woodmouse) is the source of this 110-nucleotide small nuclear RNA. The record is from RefSeq and is a predicted model, not a curated record. NCBI's taxonomy places the organism in Eukaryota, Metazoa, Chordata, Mammalia, Rodentia, Muridae.